UACGAAGGGGGCUAGCGUUGCUCGGAAUCACUGGGCGUAAAGGGUGCGUAGGCGGGUCUUUAAGUCAGUGGUGAAAUCUCCGGGCUCAACCCGGAAACUGCCAUUGAUACUAUUAGUCUUGAAUAUUGUUGAGGUAGGCGGAAUAUAUCAUGUAGCGGUGAAAUGCAUAGAUAUGAUAUAGAACACCGAUUGCGAAGGCAGCUUACUAAACAAUUAUUGACGCUGAGGCACGAAAGCGUGGGGAUCAAACAGG
This 253-nucleotide ribosomal RNA is filed under the name uncultured bacterium. Its description in RNAcentral is "partial 16S ribosomal RNA". It matches the Rfam family "Bacterial small subunit ribosomal RNA", at positions 524 to 776 of the family's 1533-position model. The record is from RNAcentral.